GACGAACGCUGGCGGCGUGCUUAACACAUGCAAGUCGAACGGAAAGGCCCUGCUUUUGUGGGGUGCUCGAGUGGCGAACGGGUGAGCAACACGUGAGUAACCUGCCCUUGACUUUGGGAUAACUUCAGGAAACUGGGGCUAAUACCGGAUAGGAGCUCCUGCUGCAUGGUGGGGGUUGGAAAGUUUCGGCGGUUGGGGAUGGACUCGCGGCUUAUCAGCUUGUUGGUGGGGUAGUGGCUUACCAAGGCUUUGACGGGUAGCCGGCCUGAGAGGGUGACCGGCGACAUUGGGACUGAGAUACGGCCCAGACUCCUACGGGAGGCAGCAGUGGGGAAUAUUGCACAAUGGGCGGAAGCCUGAUGCAGCAACGCCGCGUGCGGGAUGACGGCCUUCGGGUUGUAAACCGCUUUCGCCUGUGACGAAGCGUGAGUGACGGUAAUGGGUAAAGAAGCACCGGCUAACUACGUG
Molecule: ribosomal RNA, 468 nt
Filed under: uncultured bacterium
Lineage: Bacteria
Description: partial 16S ribosomal RNA
Rfam family: Bacterial small subunit ribosomal RNA
Source: RNAcentral